GCAACUGCUAGGCUGUGCUCUUCUUAUCUUUGAAAGUGCUAGCAAUUUUUAUAGCGAUUUUGUAUAAGUUGUUCGCACUUAUAAAGAAAAAGAAAAGAUAAAGCUCAAGCAAAUCGCUGCAGAAAUUGCGAGCACUUCAAAGAGAAGAAGAGCACAUUGUGGCAGAAAUUGU
This 172-nucleotide microRNA precursor is filed under the name Picea abies (Norway spruce). Its description in RNAcentral is "miR11529c stem-loop (pab-MIR11529c)". Lineage: Eukaryota; Viridiplantae; Streptophyta; Pinopsida; Pinales; Pinaceae. The record is from miRBase by way of RNAcentral.